This 254-nucleotide ribosomal RNA is filed under the name uncultured bacterium. RNAcentral describes it as "partial 16S ribosomal RNA". It matches the Rfam family "Bacterial small subunit ribosomal RNA", at positions 524 to 776 of the family's 1533-position model. The record is from RNAcentral.
UACGUAGGGGGCAAGCGUUGUCCGGAAUCAUUGGGCGUAAAGAGCGUGUAGGCGGUUUGGUAGGUCCGCUGUGAAAACUCGAGGCUCAACCUCGAGACGCCGGUGGAAACCAUCAGACUAGAGUCCGGAAGAGGAGAGUGGAAUUCCGUGGUGUAGCGGUGAAAUGCGCAGAUAUCAGGAAGAACACCCGUGGCUAAGGCGGCUCUCUAGUACGGUACUGACGCUGAGACGCGAAAGCGUGGGGAGCGAACAGG